GGAAGGGGGCCUCCGAAGCUGUGCCAGUGCGGCGUGUACGAGCCGCGGCGGUGCAGGAAUAACUGAAAAGGUGCUUUUACGGGCGCCCGGAUGGUGGCGGUGGCGGUGGCGGUCGAGUGUUUCCCCGGCCGGACCACACCGCGGCUCCAAUCGCGAACUGUUGGAGCCGGAAAGUCCAAGGGAGCUCGCACGGCGCCAAUUAUUGAUGAUUCAUCUCAUCUCAUCACCACCACCUCUUUCUUUGGAGUCUGUUAGUAUAAACUUCUGCAGCAGAACUGUCUACUUGGCCGGGCUAGCUAAUAUCAUCGCAG
This 311-nucleotide unclassified non-coding RNA is filed under the name Zea mays. Its description in RNAcentral is "misc RNA Zm00001eb158700". Lineage: Eukaryota; Viridiplantae; Streptophyta; Magnoliopsida; Poales; Poaceae. The record is from RNAcentral.